CCUACGGGAGGCAGCAGUAGGGAAUCUUUCACAAUGGGCGAAAGCCUGAUGCAGCAACGCCGCGUGCAGGAUGAAGGCCUUCGGGUUGUAAACUGCUUUUAUAAGCGAGAAAUAUGAUGGUAACUUAUGAAUAAGGAUCGGCUAACUACGUGCCAGCAGCCGCGGACAUACGUAGGAUCCGAGCAUUAUCCGGAGUGACUGGGUGUAAAGAGUUGCGUAGGUGGCAUAGUAAGUAGCUAGUGAAAUCUGGUGGCUCAACCAUUCAGACUAUUAGCUAAACUGCUAAGCUCGAGACCGUUAGAGGUAACUGGAAUUUCUAGUGUAGCAGUGAAAUGCAUAGAUAUUAGAAGGAACACCGAUAGCGUAGGCAGGUUACUGGGACGGUUCUGACACUAAGGCACGAAAGCGUAGGGAGCAAACGGGAUUAGAUACCCCUGUAGUC
RNAcentral lists this ribosomal RNA (442 nucleotides) under uncultured bacterium. RNAcentral's name for it is "partial 16S ribosomal RNA". It matches the Rfam family "Bacterial small subunit ribosomal RNA", at positions 338 to 795 of the family's 1533-position model. The record is from RNAcentral.